GUACGGAAGGCAGCAAUUAGGAAUCUUGCGCAAUGGGGGAAACCCUGACGCAGCGACGCCGCGUGAAGGAUGAAGGCCUUCGGGUCGUAAACUUCUUUUAAGAGGGAAGAAACAAAUGACGGUACCUCUUGAAUAAGCCCCGGCUAACUACGUGCCAGCAGCCGCGGUAAUACGUAGGGGGCGAGCGUUGUCCGAAGUUACUGGGCGUAAAGCGCGCGUAGGCGGGCUUUUAAGUCGGAUGUGAAAUCUCCACGGCUCAACCGGGAAACCGCAUCCGAAACUGGAAGCCUUGAGGUAUGGAGAGGGAAGUGGAAUUCCUGGUGUAGCGGUGAAAUGCGUAGAUAUCAGGAGGAACACCCGUGGCGAAGGCGGCUUCCUGGCCAUAUCCUGACGCUGAGGUGCGAAAGCCAGGGGAGCGAACGGGAUUAGAUACCCCGGUAGC
This 442-nucleotide ribosomal RNA is filed under the name uncultured bacterium. RNAcentral describes it as "bacterial SSU rRNA". It matches the Rfam family "Bacterial small subunit ribosomal RNA", at positions 339 to 794 of the family's 1533-position model. The record is from RNAcentral.